Prosopis cineraria is the source of this 2558-nucleotide long non-coding RNA. RefSeq lists it as uncharacterized. The record is from RefSeq and is a predicted model, not a curated record. Lineage: Eukaryota; Viridiplantae; Streptophyta; Magnoliopsida; Fabales; Fabaceae. The transcript has 5 exons.
CUUUCAAUCAGUAAUUGCUCUGCUUUGGCAUCACUUCCUGAUUCAAUGGGGAGCCUGACAUCAUUGCAAAGACUUUCAAUCAUUACUUGCUCUGCUUUGGCAUCACUUCCUGAUUCAAUGGGGAGCCUGAAAUCAUUACAAGACUUUCAAUCAUUGAUUGCUCUGCUUUGGCAUCACUUCCUGAUUCAAUGGGGAGCCUGACAUCAUUGCAAGAACUUUUCAUCUAUAGUUGCUCUGCUUUGGCAUCACUUCCUGAUUCAAUGGGGAGCCUGACAUCAUUGCAAAGACUUUCAAUCAGUAAUUGCUCUGCUUUGGCAUCACUUCCUGAUUCAAUGGGGAGCCUGACAUCAUUGCAAAGACUUUCAAUCAUAAUUGCUCUGCUUUGGCAUCACUUCCUGAUUCAAUGGGGAGCCUGACAUCAUUGCAAGAACUUUCAAUCAGUGAUUGCUCUGCUUUGGCAUCACUUCCUGAUUCAAUGGGGAGCCCGACAUCAUUGCAAAGACUUUCAAUCAGUAAUUGCUCUGCUUUGGCAUCACUUCCUGAUUCAAUGGGGAGCCUGACAUCAUUGCAAGAACUUUCAAUCAGUGAUUGCUCUGCUUUGGCAUCACUUCCUGAUUCAAUGGGGAGCCCGACAUCAUUGCAAAGACUUUCAAUCAGUAAUUGCUCUGCUUUGGCAUCACUUCCUGAUUCAAUGGGGAGCCUGACAUCAUUGCGAGAACUUUUCAUCUAUAGUUGCUCUGCUUUGGCAUCACUUCCUGAUUCAAUGGGGAGCCUGACAUCAUUGCAAGACUUUCAAUCAGUAAUUGCUCUGCUUUGGCAUCACUUCCUGAUUCAAUAGGGAGCCUGAAAUCAUUACAAGCAUUGAAAAUCAUAUGAUGCUCUUCUUUGAUGAAAAGAUAUGGACGCAAAUUAGAGAGGGCAAAUUGGCCAAGAAUUUCUCACAUCCCAAGCGUUAUUAUAUACGAUAAUUAAAGAUUCAGAUUCUUUAUCUUCCAUUCAAGGCAACUCAAGUCUAUCUGUUUUUGUUUGUGACAUUUCUAUGUUACAUCUUUAAGAGAAGAUGCGCCCCCACUUCUGCUGCUUCUUGUCGGUGGCCACUUUCUAAUGAAAUUGCGUAUGGCAAGUGGAUUGUUCUUUUGCUGGAGGAUCUGCUUCCAAGUUGAGGCUUGAAUUGUUCUUCUUGUUCGUGCCUUUUGCUUUCCUGGUUGUUUCCUUAUAGACUCUGUUUGCUGCAUCUUUCAAUGAAGAUCUUUUGCUCGGAAAAAAAAAAAAAAACUGCUUCCCUUCCAAUCAAUUUUGCUUUUUACGAGUUGAACUUCUCGAAGCUCCGACAAAUCACUAUAGAUGGAAGCAUGAACUGAGGAAAAUUUUUUCAGUUCUGUCUGCAUAUACUCUGAUUAAGGAGAAGACCAUGGCUUCUUAAAAUUCUUCAUAAAUACAAGGAAUGAGAAAGACAAGUACAUAAUUUUAAGAUGUGGUAAAGGCGAAGUGAUAUUGAAGGAAGCACUAAUUGCUGCACUUCUUUUGCCUCUUGCGUGUGCCUUGAUUUCUUUGAGGAUGUUGGUCGCUGCUUUUUAGAGGCCAACUUCCACUUUCUGUGUAUUUUGAAAACAAAGUCCCAUUUAACAUUCAGCUAUUUUAGUCAAUUGAUUAUUCUUGAGCAUUAGGUCUUUAAAGUCAUUGUCGAAGUUUUUUGAAGUCACAGCAGUCCUCUUUUUGUCCUUUAGGAUGGGUUGAGCUGUAUAAUUCUCAAUAUGUUGAACAACCAUUUCUUUAUAAGGCUUGUCAAAGGGAGGUGAAACUGACACCCUUUAAACUUGAUUUGUUGUUUCCAUAACCUACAUAUAUUAUCAUUUUUCAUAGUAUAUACCACUUUGGUUUCAGAAUAAAAGUGAAUUAGCAGAAAUACAAAUCAGUUAUUUAAAUUGUAUGAGAAAUAUUGGGAAGAAAUUAGUGGGGGAGAGUUUAAGAUACAUCCUUUUGUUCGCUAAAAGCUACAAGCUUUUUGCUUGUAGGAUUGUUCUGUGAUUCUGUCCACUCUUGUACUUGAAGCAGAGAAAUUACUUUUAGGCCAUCGUUUAAUUUCAAGAAAUAUUGUAUUUUUCUGUAUCUUGUACAAAAGUCUUCAUCAUCAAAACUAUACAAGACAUCGGUAAAAAUAGAAGCAUGCCAAGUUUUCGUAUUUAUCGGAAACAAAAAAACUUGCUCAACCCAAAAUGUCAUCUACGCUAAGUAGGCUUGCACUUUCGGGAGGCAGCUGUACAACCUGCAAAUUCUCAGUGUUUAAUGUAAGCCAUAGGAGGCUGCAUCACAUAUUUUAAACAACGUAAAGCAAAACUAAGUUAUGGCCAAAGCACCGGAGUAAACAGUAACUUAACCUAUAUUUUACUGUCGUAAAUGUCAAGUGCUUCAAUCUUUAAUUCGCACUAGGUUGUCAAGUGCUGCUGCUAUUAUAUUUCAUUUAACAUAAGCUAAGGCACAAGACUUGGGUAAAACAUAUCCAUGUCUCAGCAAGUCAUGGAAAAAUUUGAUAGCAAACACUUGUUUCUGUGUUUUCU